Molecule: ribosomal RNA, 273 nt
Filed under: uncultured bacterium
Lineage: Bacteria
Description: partial 16S ribosomal RNA
Rfam family: Bacterial small subunit ribosomal RNA
Source: RNAcentral
UACGGAGGGGGUUAGCGUUGUUCGGAAUUACUGGGCGUAAAGCGCACGUAGGCGGAUUGGAAAGUUGGGGGUGAAAUCCCAGGGCUCAACCCUGGAACUGCCUCCAAAACUAACAGUCUAGAGUUCGAGAGAGGUGAGUGGAAUUCCAAGUGUAGAGGUGAAAUUCGUAGAUAUUUGGAGGAACACCAGUGGCGAAGGCGGCUCACUGGCUCGAUACUGACGCUGAGGUGCGAAAGCGUGGGGAGCAAACAGGAUUAGAAACCCUAGUAGUCC